Molecule: long non-coding RNA, 1025 nt
Organism: Drosophila sulfurigaster albostrigata
Lineage: Eukaryota; Metazoa; Arthropoda; Insecta; Diptera; Drosophilidae
Exons: 3
Source: RefSeq, a predicted model, not a curated record
AGAAUUUUGUUGUAUAAUUUCGUUUAGAAGUUUUGCCUCAUCAAAUUUGACAUGUGAAUGUGAACGCUCUUAGAUAUGCAUAAAUUCACGCCUGUCUCUUAUCGCACAGCUUCUGCCUUUCACCAAAAAAAAAAAGUCGUAUUAAAAUGCAUAAAUUAUUUUUAUAGAAAAAUUCGUAAAAGCAAGUCAAAAGUAUCUGCAUAAUUUUUGCAUGCAAAACCAGACAAAACAAAUCCAAUCAAAGGAAGAAGAGAAAAAUAUAACAACAAUAACUAAAAUAGAAAAGCCAAAAGUGGGAGACAACACAACGAAGUUUGGGAGUAAGGAAAGGACGCCAACUAAUUCAAUUAACACAAUAAAAACGCCACACAAAAGCCAAACGGAGCAGCAGCCGCAUCAUCAGCAGCAGCAGCAGCAGGAGAGCCUUUGAUUGCCAAGUUGACUUCAGCAGCAGCAGCAGGAACUGAGCGAAGCUAAGGCAAACUGAGACUGUCCUUUGUUAAGGUGCGCAGCUAAAGGCAAAGACCGGGUCCUUGCCCUCUCACUCACUUGCUUUCUGUCUUUCUCUUCUUUUCUUUGUGUGUGUGUGUGUGGCGCCAGCUUGAAAGAAGCAGCAAAGCGAAACAAAGCAUAGGGCCAGGCCCCAAAAAGGAAUCUAAUGUAGACCAAGCUUCAACUUUUAGCUUUAGCUGCACUCCAAAUCCCCUUCACUCGCACUUCUUUAUGGCACUGGCACUGACACUGGACGACUACUCGGCAAAUUUGUACACAGCACACGCGUCGCAGAGCGCGUGAAGCUAUUCGCAUGCUCCAACACAUGUGGGCAGCAAAGGCAGCAGGCAGCUUUGGCAGCAGUCAGCUCACAAUGCCAGGAAACUCUGGCAGCCGACAGGACGAAGAGAAGGAUGACGCUCAAGGCUCAAGUGCACUAAAUGCAAGCGGCAACAUCCGUUUCAUAAACGUAAAACCGGCAACUACACUUGCAGAAAUUUAUGGCAACACUAAACUAGAGUUGCAAAAUGUUA